RNAcentral lists this non-coding RNA (183 nucleotides) under Lactobacillus acetotolerans. RNAcentral's name for it is "Enterococcus sRNA B11". It matches the Rfam family "Enterococcus sRNA B11". From Rfam's summary of the family: Name 'Ref' stands for RNA in E. faecalis. The record is from Rfam by way of RNAcentral. Lineage: Bacteria; Bacillati; Bacillota; Bacilli; Lactobacillales; Lactobacillaceae.
GGCAACUUGUCCCCAAAGGGGGUGUGUUACAUUGCGUGAUUUAUUCUCAUUGAUCGUUGCACCUAUCAUUGUAGGUAUAGCUACUAAGCUAUUUUCUCGGUGGUUGGACGAGAACGACAAAGACAACGAUCGCUAGCAGGUUGCCUUUCAACUCACACACUGGCCGUCGCAUCCAGUGAAAAA